GACGAACGCUGGCGGCGUGCUUAACACAUGCGAGUCGAACGAAGAGCGAUGGAAGCUUGCUUCUAUCAAUCUUAGUGGCGAACGGGUGAGUAACGCGUAAUCAACCUGCCCUUCAGAGGGGGACAACAGUUGGAAACGACUGCUAAUACCGCAUACGAUCUAACCUCGGCAUCGAGGAUAGAUGAAAGGUGGCCUCUACAUGUAAGCUAUCACUGAAGGAGGGGAUUGCGUCUGAUUAGCUAGUUGGAGGGGUAACGGCCCACCAGGGCGAUGAUCAGUAGCAGGUGUGGAAGGAGGGAGGGCCACAUUGGGACUGAGAAGGGGCCCAGACUCCUACGGGAGGCAGCAGUGGGGAAUUUUCCGGAAUGGACGAAGGUCUGGCGGAGCAACGGCGCGUGAGUGAUGACGGCCUUGGGGUUGUAAAGCUCUUUUAAGGGGGAGGAAGGGCCUUCUUGGGAAAAGUAGGAAGGAUUGACGGUACCGGAAAAGAAAGCCACGGCUAACUACGG
Molecule: ribosomal RNA, 509 nt
Filed under: uncultured bacterium
Lineage: Bacteria
Description: partial 16S ribosomal RNA
Rfam family: Bacterial small subunit ribosomal RNA
Source: RNAcentral